UGGGGAAUCUUGGACAAUGGGGGCAACCCUGAUCCAGCAAUGCCGCGUGUGUGAAGAAGGCCUUCGGGUUGUAAAGCACUUUCAGUGGGGACAAACAAGACGGAGCUAACAUCUCCGUUUCUGAUGGUACCCAAAGAAGAAGCACCGGCUAACUCUGUGCCAGCAGCCGCGGUAAUACAGAGGGUGCAAGCGUUAAUCGGAAUUACUGGGCGUAAAGCGUGCGUAGGUGGUUCACUAAGUCAGAUGUGAAAGGCCUGGGCUCAACCCGGGAACUGCCUUUGAAACUGAAGGUCUAGAGGCCGAGAGAGGUUAGCGGAAUUCCCAGUGUAGAGGUGAAAUUCGUAGAUAUUGGGAAGAACACCAGUGGCGAAGGCGGCUAUCUGGCUCGGUUCUGACGCUGAGGCGCGAAAGCGUGGGGAGCAAACAGGAUUAGAUACCCUGGUAGCCCACGCUGUAAACGAUGUGUGCUAGCCGUUGGAAAACUUGUUUUUCAGUGGCGCAGCUAACGCGUUAAGCACACCGCCUGGGGAGUACGGUCGCAAGAUUA
This 547-nucleotide ribosomal RNA is filed under the name uncultured bacterium. RNAcentral describes it as "bacterial SSU rRNA". It matches the Rfam family "Bacterial small subunit ribosomal RNA", at positions 355 to 896 of the family's 1533-position model. The record is from RNAcentral.